RNAcentral lists this ribosomal RNA (253 nucleotides) under uncultured bacterium. Its description in RNAcentral is "partial 16S ribosomal RNA". It matches the Rfam family "Bacterial small subunit ribosomal RNA", at positions 524 to 776 of the family's 1533-position model. The record is from RNAcentral.
UACGAAGGGGGCUAGCGUUGUUCGGAUUUACUGGGCGUAAAGCGCACGUAGGCGGAUUGUUAAGUCGGGGGUGAAAUCCUGGAGCUCAACUCCAGAAUUGCCUUCGAUACUGGCUUUCUAGAGGCUGGAAGAGGUUAGUGGAAUUCCCAGUGUAGAGGUGAAAUUCGUAGAUAUUGGGAAGAACACCAGUGGCGAAGGCGGCGACCUGGGUCGAUACUGACGCUGAGGCGCGAAAGCGUGGGGAGCGAACAGG